CCUACGGGUGGCAGCAGUGAGGAAUAUUGGUCAAUGGGCGUAAGCCUGAACCAGCCAAGUCGCGUGAGGGAUGACGGUUCUAUGGAUUGUAAACCUCUUUUGUCAGGGAAUAAAGGAUGGCACGUGUCGUGUUUUGUAAGUACCUGAUGAAUAAGGAUCGGCUAACUCCGUGCCAGCAGCCGCGGUAAUACGGAGGAUUCGAGCGUUAUCCGGAUUUAUUGGGUUUAAAGGGUGCGUAGGCGGCCGUUUAAGUCAGGGGUGAAAGUUUGUGGCUCAACCAUUGAAGUGCCGUUGAAACUGGUAUGCUUGAGUGUGUGUGAGGCAGGCGGAAUGCGUGGUGUAGCGGUGAAAUGCAUAGAUAUCACGCAGAACCCCGAUUGCGAAGGCAGCAUGCCAGGCCAUGACUGACGCUGAUGCACGAAAGCGUGGGGAUCAAACAGGAUUAGAUACCCGAGUAGUC
This 460-nucleotide ribosomal RNA is filed under the name uncultured bacterium. Its description in RNAcentral is "partial 16S ribosomal RNA". It matches the Rfam family "Bacterial small subunit ribosomal RNA", at positions 338 to 795 of the family's 1533-position model. The record is from RNAcentral.